RNAcentral lists this transfer RNA (84 nucleotides) under Felis catus (domestic cat). It matches the Rfam family "tRNA". Rfam says of the family: Transfer RNA (tRNA) molecules are approximately 80 nucleotides in length. Their secondary structure includes four short double-helical elements and three loops (D, anti-codon, and T loops). Further hydrogen bonds mediate the characteristic L-shaped molecular structure. tRNAs have two regions of fundamental functional importance: the anti-codon, which is responsible for specific mRNA codon recognition, and the 3' end, to which the tRNAs corresponding amino acid is attached (by aminoacyl-tRNA synthetases). tRNAs cope with the degeneracy of the genetic code in two manners: having more than one tRNA (with a specific anti-codon) for a particular amino acid; and 'wobble' base-pairing, i.e. permitting non-standard base-pairing at the 3rd anti-codon position. RNAcentral also lists the same sequence under 2 other names. The record is from Rfam by way of RNAcentral. Lineage: Eukaryota; Metazoa; Chordata; Mammalia; Carnivora; Felidae.
GCCUGGGUGGCUCAGUUGGUUGAGUGUCUGACUUCAGCUCAGGUCAUAUCUCAUGGCUCGUGAGGUCGAACCCCACUUCAGGCU